UUUAUUAAGGGCAGACGGUGGAUGCCUUGGGAUAUCUAGGCGAUGAAGGACGUGGUGUGCCUGCGAUAAGCUGCGGUGAGGUGGCUAACAACCUUUGACCCGCAGAUUUCCGAAUGCGAUAACGCGGCCGAAUUAAACUCGGUCACCAAGCACAUAAUUUAUGUGCUUCGGAGCGAACCUGGGGAAGUGAAACAUCUUAGUACCCAGAGGAAAAGAGAACGCAGUUAAUUCUCUUAGUAGCGGCGAGCGAAAAGAGAAGAGCCCAAACCUAACCGUGCCUCACUUUCGUUCAGCACGAAUUUUCAAUGAUCAAUGAUCAAUUUUCAAUGAAUUUUCAAUGACUCAAUUUACAAAUCAUUUAAUUGAAAAUUGAAAAUUUAAAAUUGAAAAUUCCGUGGUGAGUGGUAGCGAGGCACGGCUGGGGGUAGUAAGAAGAUAACGUCCGGAGCAUUUCUGGUGCACAGAAAUGUUUUGGAGGGAGAAUAUUUAGACGAAGUUUGGUUAGAAGAAGCACCCUGGAAAGGGGCGCCAAAGAGGGUAAUAGCCCCGUAUUCGAAAAUCACUUCGUGCUCCUUGUUAUUUUUCUUGAGUAGCUCGAGGAAAGAAAGCCUUGAGUGAAACAUCCGCGACUAAUGCGGAAAGGCUAAAUACUAAGAUAUCUCCGAUAGUGAACCAGUACCGUGAGGGAAAGGUGAAAAGCAGCCCGUUGAGGGCGGUGAAAUAGAACCUGAAACCGUCAUGCCUACAAAGAGCCGGAGGUUCGACGUUACGUCGGACUGACGGCGUGCUUUUUGCAGAACGAGCCAACGAGUUCCGUUUAAAUUUUCGUCUAAGGGCUUCCAGCCCGAAGGCACAGGGAAACCGAGUGUUAAAAGCGCGAAUCUUUUAAUACAUUAAAAUAGAAAUUUAAACGGAGACCCGAAGCCAAGCGAGCUUGCCAUGGCCAGGGUGAACCCCGUGGAAACACGGGGGGAGGCCCGAACCCGUGGGUCGUGCAAUUCCUUGGGAUGAGCUGUGGUAAGAAGUGAAAAGCUAAACGAGCUUGGUAAUAGCUGGUUCUCCCCGAAAUAGCUUUAGGGCUAGCUCCCUGUUACAAGUUUUCGCAGGUAGAGCACUGGAUGGAAUAUCGUGCCUUAUGGUAGGUACUCCAACCAAACUCCGAAUGGCGAAAAUUAUUACAGGGAAGUCAGACGAUGAGCGCUAAGGUUCAUCGCCAAAAGGGAAACAGCCCAGAUCUUAAUCUAAGGUCCCUAAACUGUAUUUUCACUCCGACCCACUGCUUAAGAUACCUUCGGUUUCUUACGUCGCUUGUUCGCUUCGCUCACUCGCUCCUAUUUUUCCAAGACGGAGUGAAAAUAUUUUCACUCCGUGGAGGAAAACAGCGAGCCCGAGCGGAGCGAGGGCGAGCGUUAGAAACCUUGGGUUUCUAAAGGUGGGGGUCGGGGUGAAAAUCUUGAGCUAAGUGUUUUUAAGGAAGUGGGGAUCCUGUGAUAGUUAGGAGGUUAGCUUAGAAGCAGCUAUCCUUUAAAAAGUGCGUAAUAGCUUACUAACUAAGGAAUCCCGCGCCAAAGAUUUACGGGACUAAGCUCAGUACCGAAGAUAAGAACCAGCCAUACCUCAUUGCAUUCGGCAUGGAAUGAUUUAAUUUUUAAACAUUUUAAUUGAAAAUUGAAAAUUAAAAAUUGAAAAUUCCACCCGAGUGUAGCGAGGUGUGGCUGGUGGUAGGGGAGCAUUCGUAAUGCUGUGAAGUGGGAGGGUAACCGACCAUGGAGCGUUGCGAAGCGAGAAUGUUGGCAUGAGUAACCGCAAUCAGGGUGAGAGCCCCUGACACCGCAAGCCUAAGGUUUCCUUGGCAAUGUUGAUCAGCCAAGGGUUAGGCGGUCCUAAACUGAAGCCGAAAGGCGUAGGUGAUGGACAGCAGGUUAAUAUUCCUGCCCUUCUGUUAAAUAACCUCAAGGGGACGCAGUUUUGAAGUUCAAGGGGAUUAUUGGAUUUCCUGGGAAACUUCGGUUUCCUUUCUUGAAUCAAAAAUUGCCAAGAAAAUCCUUGAGUAUUCUAUUUAACAGGAUCCGUACCUUAAACCGACACAGGUAGGCUGGUAUAAAUGUACCAAGGUGAACGGGUGAAACCUCGUUAAGGAACUCGGCAAUAAAGUGUUCGUAAGUUCGCAAUAAGAACUUCCUUCACCUUCAAAGGUGAAGGGCGCAGCGAAAGUACCCCAGGCGACUGUUUACCAAAAACACAGGUCCCUGCUAAACUCGCAAGAGGAUGUAUAGGGACUGAGGCCUGACCAGUGCUGGAAUGUCAAUCUUGCCGGUCUUUGCUUUCGGGUAAAGGCUGAGCGAGUGAAGCACCAGUGAACGUCCGCGGUAACUAUAACCGUGUUAAAGUAGCGUAAUCCCUUGCCAGGUAAGUUCUGGCCCGCAUGAAAGGCUUAACGACUUGGGGGCUGUCUCAACGAGGAGCCCGGUGAAAAUGCAAUACCGGUAAAGAUGCCGGUUACCUGCGGCUAGACGGAAAGACCCCGGGAGCUUUACUGUAGCUAGAUAUUGGAUUUUGGUUUCAGAUGCGUAGCGUAGCGGGUAGGCUUUGAAGUCCCAUUUUCGGAUGGGAUGGAGCCGCCAAUGAAACACCCGUCUUUUGAAACCUUUAUUCUAACUCUGCCUGAAACGGCAGAAGACAGUGUCUGGUGGUCAGUUUAAGUGGGGCGCUUGCCUCCUAAAGAGUAGCGGAGGCGUUUAAAGGUCGGCUAGCCAGGGAUGGAAAUCCUGGCGAUAGGGCAAAGCCAUAAGCCGGCUUUACUGCGAGCAGGUUAUUGCGAGCAGUUGCGAAAGCAGAACUUAGUGAACCGACCUCUUUUUAUAGAAAAGGGGAAGAUCAUCAGCCAAAAGUUACCCCGGGGAUAACAGGCUAGUAGGGCCCGCAAGUCCAUAUUAACGGCCCUGUUCGGCACCUCGAUGUCGGCUCAUCACAUCCUGGAGGUGGAGAAGCUUCCAAGGGUUGGGCUGUUCGCCCAUUAAAGUGGUACGCGAGCUGGGUUCAGACCGUCGUGAGACAGGUUGGUCCCUAUCUACCGUAGGCGCCGAGUCUUGAGGGGAGUCGUCCUUUGUACGAGAGGAUCAGGAUGAACUAACCUCUGGUCUACCAGUUGUUCCGCCAGGAGCAUUGCUGGGUAGCUAAGUUAGGAUGGGAUAAAAGCUGAAAGCAUCUAAGCUUGAAGCCCGCCCCAAGAUUAGGACUCAAGACCCCUCCCAGAUCAGGAGGUUGAUAGGCUCUAGGUCUAAGUGCUGUGAGGCACUAAGCCGAGGAGUACUAAUAGGUCAGUU
This 3326-nucleotide ribosomal RNA is filed under the name Candidatus Nealsoniibacteriota bacterium. RNAcentral describes it as "bacterial LSU rRNA". It matches the Rfam family "Bacterial large subunit ribosomal RNA". The record is from RNAcentral. Lineage: Bacteria; Candidatus Nealsoniibacteriota.